Molecule: transfer RNA, 118 nt
Filed under: Kwoniella dejecticola CBS 10117
Lineage: Eukaryota; Fungi; Basidiomycota; Tremellomycetes; Tremellales; Cryptococcaceae
Description: tRNA-Leu
Rfam family: tRNA
About the family: Transfer RNA (tRNA) molecules are approximately 80 nucleotides in length. Their secondary structure includes four short double-helical elements and three loops (D, anti-codon, and T loops).
Source: RNAcentral
GGCGAGAUGAUGGAGCGGUCUAACAUGCUGUCUUAAGGAGAAGAUUUCCCCUUAUCCCUAUAAGCUAAAUCAUCCUCGGCAGUCCUUCGGGGCCUGGGUUCGAAUCCCAGUCUCGUCA